GAUGAACGCUGGCGGCGUGCCUAAUACAUGCAAGUCGAGCGAACGGACGAGAAGCUUGCUUCUCUGAUGUUAGCGGCGGACGGGUGAGUAACACGUGGAUAACCUACCUAUAAGACUGGGAUAACUUCGGGAAACCGGAGCUAAUACCGGAUAAUAUUUUGAACCGCAUGGUUCAAAAGUGAAAGACGGUCUUGCUGUCACUUAUAGAUGGAUCCGCGCUGCAUUAGCUAGUUGGUAAGGUAACGGCUUACCAAGGCAACGAUGCAUAGCCGACCUGAGAGGGUGAUCGGCCACACGGGAACGGAGACACGGUCCAGACUCCUACGAGAGGCAGCAGUAGGGAAUCUGCCGCAAAGGGCGAAAGCCUGACGGAGCAACGCCGCGUGAGUGAUGAAGGUCUUCGGAUCGUAAAACUCUGUUAUUAGGGAAGAACAUAUGUGUAAGUAACUGUGCACAUCUUGACGGUACCUAAUCAGAAAGCCACGGCCAACUACGUG
This 497-nucleotide ribosomal RNA is filed under the name uncultured bacterium. RNAcentral describes it as "partial 16S ribosomal RNA". It matches the Rfam family "Bacterial small subunit ribosomal RNA", at positions 28 to 507 of the family's 1533-position model. The record is from RNAcentral.